Molecule: long non-coding RNA, 1004 nt
Organism: Gasterosteus aculeatus aculeatus (three-spined stickleback)
Lineage: Eukaryota; Metazoa; Chordata; Actinopteri; Perciformes; Gasterosteidae
Source: Ensembl
UAAUGAGGAACAGGUUUUUUACAAUUUAUUUAAAUUUGGGGGAAAUUCGGCCACAUAGCUCAGAACAACGGCUUCAGUUGGUCAGCGGGGGCUCACUGUUGUUUUCUGCACACACACACACACACACACACACACACACACACACACACACACACACACACACUACUGUUCCUUUCCUAAAAAAAACAGCCAUUUUAAAUCGCAUCGAAAUCAGGGCAUCAUCAAGGAAAAGAUGAUGCACAGGUUCAGUAUUAAAUUAGCUUGCUUGUCAUUUCACCAGAUUCACAACAGCCACAUUUCCAGAUGUCGUUUAUGAUUCAUAUCCUCAUUUGAUUUCUCAUUAAAGCUGCACUGGAAUUGUGGCAGGACGUCAAAGAAGAACCCAAAUGGCACCAAAGUGAAUAAAUAACUAGUGUAGAAGAGUCCCUGUUGUGUGUGUCAGCGGACUGAGUGGAGUGAUCCACCCAACAGAAACAGAAAUGCGCGAUUCCACGCAGGCGAACGGAGCUCAGUCGUUGUGUGAGGACGUCGCACGCUGGGAAGAUAGAAGCUAUUCUAAAGACCAAAGGCAACAAUGCAUCCAUGAAUCUUUCCAGUAGGGUUGUGGCUUUGCGUUUGAAAGGAUUUAUGGGAAGGGGAAGUGGGAGGGUCACAGAAGGCCCCGCCCACGCAGGAGCGUGACCUUUGCCUCCGUAAAGGUCCGCUGUUGCAUUGUGGGCUUUGCAGUUAUGCUAACAGCGUGUUUGAGGUUUUCAAUGCACUAGUUUCAAUUCAGAUAUUCAUAAUGUGUGUUUUUUUUUUCCAUUUUUGUAUAAAUCAAGUUUCAAUUUUGGAAAAUGUAAAAAAAAAAAGACUUUUUACAUGCAAUUGGAAUAGUUUCCUUUUGUUAACGUGUGAAUACGAACAUCUCCUGACGCCUUAUGAUCACAGCUGUGAACAUAUGCGGUGAUAUUUUUUUUUAUCACAUUCUCGUCACUGCGGUUGGAGGGUGUUCACACGUGAGG